This 325-nucleotide ribosomal RNA is filed under the name uncultured eukaryote. RNAcentral's name for it is "partial 18S ribosomal RNA". It matches the Rfam family "Eukaryotic small subunit ribosomal RNA", at positions 1470 to 1796 of the family's 1831-position model. The record is from RNAcentral.
CCCUUAGAUGUUCUGGGCCGCACGCGCGCUACACUGACUGCUCCAACAAGUUACCUGGGCUGACAAGUAUCCGGGAAAUCUUGCAAAGGCAGUCGUGAUGGGGAUAGAUUCUUGUAAUUUUUGAUCUUCAACGAGGAAUUCCUAGUAAACGCAAGUCAUCAGCUUGCAUUGAUUACGUCCCUGCCCUUUGUACACACCGCCCGUCGCAUCUACCGAUUGAAUGGAGAGGCAAAAUCUUCGGACCGUGACGCUUGGGAGUCAAAUCUCGGGCUGUCGUGGGAAGUGGAUUAAACCUUUCUAUUUAGAGGAAGGUAAAGUCGUAACA